RNAcentral lists this ribosomal RNA (301 nucleotides) under uncultured bacterium. RNAcentral describes it as "partial 16S ribosomal RNA". It matches the Rfam family "Bacterial small subunit ribosomal RNA", at positions 509 to 807 of the family's 1533-position model. The record is from RNAcentral.
CAGUCGCCACGGGAAUACGUAGGUGGCAAGCGUUGUCCGGAAUUAUUGGGCGUAAAGGGCUCGCAGGCGGUUUCUUAAGUCUGAUGUGAAAGCCCCCGGCUCAACCGGGGAGGGUCAUUGGAAACUGGGAAACUUGAGUGCAGAAGAGGAGAGUGGAAUUCCACGUGUAGCGGUGAAAUGCGUAGAGAUGUGGAGGAGCACCAGUGGCGAAGGCGACUCUCUGGUCUGUAACUGACGCUGAGGAGCGAAAGCGUGGGGAGCGAACAGGAUUAGAUACCCCGGUAGUCCCUGUCUCUUAUAC